GAUGAACGCUGGCGGCGUGCCUAAUACAUGCAAGUCGAGCGAACAGACGAGGAGCUUGCUCCUCUGACGUUAGCGGCGGACGGGUGAGUAACACGUGGAUAACCUACCUAUAAGACUGGGAUAACUUCGGGAAACCGGAGCUAAUACCGGAUAAUAUAUUGAACCGCAUGGUUCAAUAGUGAAAGACGGUUUUGCUGUCACUUAUAGCUGGAUCCGCGUCGCAUUAGCUAGUUGGUAAGGUAACGGCUUACCAAGGCAACGAUGCGUAGCCGACCUGAGAGGGUGAGUGGCCACACUGGAACUGAGACCCGGUCCAGACUCCUACGGGAGGCAGCAGUAGGGAAUCUUCCGCAAUGGGCGAAAGCUUGACGGAGCAACGCCGCGUGAGUGAUGAAGGUCUUCGGAUCGUAAAACUCUGUUAUUAGGGAAGAACAAAUGUGUAAGUAACUAUGCACGUCUUGACGGUACCUAAUCAGAAAGCCACGGCUAACUACGUG
Molecule: ribosomal RNA, 497 nt
Filed under: uncultured bacterium
Lineage: Bacteria
Description: partial 16S ribosomal RNA
Rfam family: Bacterial small subunit ribosomal RNA
Source: RNAcentral